This 690-nucleotide ribosomal RNA is filed under the name uncultured Acidobacteriota bacterium. RNAcentral describes it as "bacterial SSU rRNA". It matches the Rfam family "Bacterial small subunit ribosomal RNA", at positions 15 to 686 of the family's 1533-position model. The record is from RNAcentral. Lineage: Bacteria; Pseudomonadati; Acidobacteriota.
GAUCCUGGCUCAGAAUCAACGCUGGCGGCGUGCCUAACACAUGCAAGUCGAACGCGAAAGGGACUUCGGUCCUGAGUAGAGUGGCGAACGGGUGAGUAACACGUGGGUGAUCUACCUCUGAGUGGGGGAUAACGUUCCGAAAGGAGCGCUAAUACCGCAUGAAGUUCCGGGUUUGAAGACCGGGAAACCAAAGUCGGGGACCGCAAGGCCUGACGCUUGGAGAGGAGCCCGCGCCUGAUUAGCUAGUUGGCGGGGUAAUGGCCCACCAAGGCGACGAUCAGUAGCCGGCCUGAGAGGGCGGACGGCCACACUGGGACUGAGACACGGCCCAGACUCCUACGGGAGGCAGCAGUGGGGAAUUGUUCGCAAUGGGCGCAAGCCUGACGACGCAACGCCGCGUGGAGGAUGAAGGUCUUCGGAUCGUAAACUCCUGUUGAUCGGGACGAAAAGCUUCGACCUAACACGUCGAAGACUGACGGUACCGGUUGAGGAAGCCACGGCUAACUCUGUGCCAGCAGCCGCGGUAAUACAGAGGUGGCAAGCGUUGUUCGGAAUUACUGGGCGUAAAGGGCGCGUAGGCGGCCUUCUAAGUCGGACGUGAAAGCCCCAGGCUUAACCUGGGAACUGCGUCCGAUACUGGGAGGCUUGGAUUCGGGAGAGGGAUGUGGAAUUCCAGGUGUAGCGGUGAAA